GAUGCCAUCCAAAAUGCAUACAAUAUACUUGUGCACCAUGGCAUUGACUAUGAAUGCCUAUAAAUAGAAACAGUUAAUUAUAUCUCGAUCAAACCAAAUCAUGGCUAAAGCAAUGCACCUAAGUUUGUGUUUUAUCAUUGGAUUUCUCUUCUUGGUUUUGGUUGUUGAAGCGUACGACCCUGUUGAAUUCGCAAGGUGCGAUUGGAAGGAUACAGUAGUUCCGACCGCGCAAGGAUGUCAUGAGUGUGAUUCUAAAUGUAUAAACGCAAACUCAUUUUUAGUCAGUCACACUGUAUGCGACGAUCGUUAUUUUGAAGGUUUUGUCUACUGCAUAUGUUGCAAGGGAAGGAUAUAAACGUAUGACUACAUGGCUAGCGCUGUAGCAAGCUAUAGGGUCGGUAUG
Long non-coding RNA from Papaver somniferum (opium poppy), 403 nucleotides. RefSeq lists it as uncharacterized. The transcript is spliced from 2 exons. NCBI's taxonomy places the organism in Eukaryota, Viridiplantae, Streptophyta, Magnoliopsida, Ranunculales, Papaveraceae. The record is from RefSeq and is a predicted model, not a curated record.